GAUCCUGGCUCAGGAUAAACGCUAGCGGCAGGCCUAACACAUGCAAGUCGAGGGGCAUCGGAUAGAGUACUUCGGUACUCUUGCCGGCGACCGGCGGACGGGUGNGUAACGCGUAUGCAACCUACCUUCAACAGGGGGAUAAUCCGAAGAAAUUUGGUCUAAUACCCCAUAAUAUUCCGACAGGCAUCUGUUGGAGUUGAAAGCUUCGGUGGUUGGAGAUGGGCAUGCGUUGUAUUAGCUAGAUGGUG
RNAcentral lists this ribosomal RNA (248 nucleotides) under uncultured bacterium. RNAcentral describes it as "partial 16S ribosomal RNA". It matches the Rfam family "Bacterial small subunit ribosomal RNA", at positions 15 to 254 of the family's 1533-position model. The record is from RNAcentral.